Molecule: ribosomal RNA, 468 nt
Filed under: uncultured bacterium
Lineage: Bacteria
Description: partial 16S ribosomal RNA
Rfam family: Bacterial small subunit ribosomal RNA
Source: RNAcentral
GACGAACGCUGGCGGCGUGCUUAACACAUGCAAGUCGAACGGAAAGGCCCUGCUUUUGUGGGGUGCUCGAGUGGCGAACGGGUGAGUAACACGUGAGUAACCUGCCCUUGACUUUGGGAUAACUUCAGGAAACUGGGGCUAAUACCGGAUAGGAUCUCCUGCUGCAUGGUGGGGGUUGGAACGUUUCGGCGGUUGGGGAUGGACUCGCGGCUUAUCAGCUUGUUGGUGGGGUAGUGGCUUACCAAGGCUUUGACGGGUAGCCGGCCUGAGAGGGUGAACGGCCACAUUGGGACUGAGAGACGGCCCAGACUGCUACGGGAGGCAGCAGGGGGGAAUAUUGCACAAUGGGCGGAAGCCUGAUGCAGAAACGCCGCGUGCGGGAUGACGGCCUUCGGGUUGUAAACCGCUUUCGCCUGUGACGAAGCGUGAGUGACGGUAAUGGGUAAAGAAGCACCGGCUAACUACGUG